This 460-nucleotide ribosomal RNA is filed under the name uncultured bacterium. RNAcentral describes it as "partial 16S ribosomal RNA". It matches the Rfam family "Bacterial small subunit ribosomal RNA", at positions 339 to 795 of the family's 1533-position model. The record is from RNAcentral.
CUACGGGGGGCUGCAGUAAGGAAUAUUGCGCAAUGGAGGCAACUCUGACGCAGCCAUGCCGCGUGCAGGAAGAAGGCCUUAUGGGUCGUAAACUGCUUUUAUUUAGGAAUAAACCCCCGAACGUGUUCGGGGCUGAAGGUACUAAACGAAUAAGCACCGGCUAACUCCGUGGCCAGCAGCCGCGGUAAUACGGAGGGUGCAAGCGUUAUCCGGAUUUAUUGGGUUUAAAGGGUGCGCAGGCGGGCUAUUAAGUCAGUGGUGAAAUCCCGGGGCUCAACUCCGGAACUGCCAUUGAUACUGAUAGUCUUGAGUUUGGUUGAAGUGGGCGGAAUGUAGCAUGUAGCGGUGAAAUGCAUAGAUAUGCUACAGAACACCAAUCGCGAAGGCAGCUCACUAAGCCAAAACUGACGCUCAUGCACGAAAGCGUGGGGAUCAAACAGGAUUAGAUACCCCAGUAGUC